UGAUUACUCCCUCUGUCCGAAAAUACUUGUCAUCAAAAUGAACAAAAAAGGAUGUAUCCAGAACUAAAAUACAUCUAGAUACAUCCCCUUUUAUCCAUUUUGAAAAUGACAAGUAUUUCUGGACGGAGGGAGUACUUC
Triticum aestivum (bread wheat) is the source of this 138-nucleotide non-coding RNA. The record is from Rfam. Lineage: Eukaryota; Viridiplantae; Streptophyta; Magnoliopsida; Poales; Poaceae.